RNAcentral lists this ribosomal RNA (426 nucleotides) under uncultured bacterium. RNAcentral's name for it is "partial 16S ribosomal RNA". It matches the Rfam family "Bacterial small subunit ribosomal RNA", at positions 354 to 796 of the family's 1533-position model. The record is from RNAcentral.
GUGAGGAAUUUUCCGCAAUGGGCGAAAGCCUGACGGAGCAAUGCCGCGUGAAGGAUGAAGGCCUAUGGGUUGUAAACUUCUUUUCUCAGAAAAGAAUUAUGACGGUAUCUGAGGAAUAAGCAUCGGCUAACUCUGUGCCAGCAGCCGCGGUAAGACAGAGGAUGCAAGCGUUAUCCGGAAUGAUUGGGCGUAAAGCGUCUGUAGGUUGUUUAAAAAGUAUUCUGUCAAAGAUUAGGGCUUAACCCUAGAUAGGCAGAAUAAACUUUUAAGCUAGAGUUUGGUAGAGGCAGAGAGAAUUCCCGGUGGAGCGGUGAAAUGCGUAGAUAUCGGGAGGAACACCAAAGGCGAAGGCACUCUGCUGGGCCAAUACUAACACUGAGAGACGAAAGCGAGGGGAGCAAAUGGGAUUAGAUACCCCGGUAGUCC